This 787-nucleotide ribosomal RNA is filed under the name uncultured archaeon. Its description in RNAcentral is "bacterial SSU rRNA". It matches the Rfam family "Archaeal small subunit ribosomal RNA", at positions 84 to 872 of the family's 1478-position model. The record is from RNAcentral.
UACGGCUCAGUAACACGUAGUCAAUCUAACCUAUGGACGGGGAUAACCUCGGGAAACUGAGGAUAAAACCCGAUAGAUCAUAAUGCCUGGAACGGUUUAUGGUUCAAAUGAUUCGUCGCCGUAGGGUGGGACUGCGGCCUAUCAGCUUGUUGGUGAGGUAAUGGCCCACCAAGGCUAUUACAGGUACGGGCUCUGAGAGGAGAAGCCCGGAGAUGGGUACUGAGACACGGACCCAGGCCCUAUGGGGCGCAGCAGGCGAGAAACCUUUGCAAUGUGCGCAAGCACGACAAGGUUAAUCCGAGUGUUUCCUGUUAAAGGAAUCUUUUGUUAGUUCUAAAACCACUAUUGAAUAAGGGGUGGGCAAGUUCUGGUGUCAGCCGCCGCGGUAAAACCAGCACCUCAAGUGGUCAGGAUGAUUAUUGGGCCUAAAGCAUCCGUAGCCUGUUCUGUAAGUUUCCGGUUAAAUCCAUUAGCUCAACUAAUGGGCUGCCGAAAAUACUGCAGAACUAGGGAGUGGGAGAGGUAGACGGUACUCGGUAGGAAGGGGUAAAAUCCUUUGAUCUAUUGAUGACCACCAGUGGCGAAGGCGGUCUACCAGAACACGUUCGACGGUGAGGGAUGAAAGCUGGGGGAGCAAACCGGAUUAGAUACCCGGGUAGUCCCAGCUGUAAACGAUGCAGACUCGGUGAUGCGCUGGCUUGUGGCCAGUGCAGUGCCGCAGGGAAGCCGUUAAGUUUGCCGCCUGGGAAGUACGUACGCAAGUAUGAAACUUAAAGGAAUUGGCGGA